This 520-nucleotide unclassified non-coding RNA is filed under the name uncultured Entrophospora. RNAcentral describes it as "SSU rRNA". It matches the Rfam family "Eukaryotic small subunit ribosomal RNA", at positions 569 to 1085 of the family's 1831-position model. Lineage: Eukaryota; Fungi; Glomeromycota; Glomeromycetes; Entrophosporales; Entrophosporaceae. The record is from RNAcentral.
AGCAGCCGCGGUAAUUCCAGCUCCAAUAGCGUAUAUUAAAGUUGUUGCAGUUAAAAGCUCGUAGUUGAAUUUCGGGAUUGGCGCAUCGGUCGUGCCUCACGGGGUAUGAACUGGUGCAGUCAAUUUCUCACCUUCUGGAGAACCGCGAUGUCCUUAAUUGGAUGCCGCGGGGAACCAGGACCUUUACUUUGAAAAAUUAGAGUGUUUAAAGCAGGCAUUUUUGCUUGAAUACAUUAGCAUGGAAUAAUAAAAUAGGACGGCAUGGUUCUAUUUUGUUGGUUUCUAGGACCACCGUAAUGAUUAAUAGGGAUAGUUGGGGGCAUUAGUAUUCAAUUGUCAGAGGUGAAAUUCUUGGAUUUAUUGAAGACUAACUACUGCGAAAGCAUUUGCCAAGGAUGUUUUCAUUAAUCAAGAACGAAAGUUAGGGAUCGAAGACGAUCAGAUACCGUCGUAGUCUUAACCAUAAACCUAUGCCGACUAGGAAUCAGACGAUGUUAAUUUUUAUGUACUUCGUUUGGCU